CCUGCCCACUCCCCUUUAUAUUCUGCCCCAGAAGGGCAGAAGCCCCAAGUUAGGCCCAUUGUGGGCCAAGGGAUCCUCCGCCUGGCGUCCCUGGGUAUUUUAGCUGUUUGAGGCUCUUGCCUUGGGCUCUGAGAUGGCUGCAAGAAUGGUGGUGGAGAAGAGAAGCUCUUCAGGCAGAGUGAGAGCUAAGGAGUGGUUUGACUCUUUGAUCUUUACUGACCCUGUACUCAGACACAGCAGUUCAGCCAUCCUGACCUCUCCUGAAAGGCUGCUUUCAGCUAAGAGAUGCAUGACAAGCACUGACUCCCAGCCACAACCCUUCUGAGUAGUCUAACACUGUGGAGGCUACUGGGUGCAACUGGGCUCCCUCUACAUCCACUUUCUUCAGCUUCAAGACCUUCCUGCAGGAGGAGGAAGCUGGCAAGAGGAGCUGCCUUCAACCCUUCCUAUGAAUGCUUUAUGGGCAAACAAUAAAGGAAAAUUAGCAGUAAUUAAA
Pogoniulus pusillus (Red-fronted tinkerbird) is the source of this 496-nucleotide long non-coding RNA. RefSeq lists it as uncharacterized. The record is from RefSeq and is a predicted model, not a curated record. The transcript has 3 exons. NCBI's taxonomy places the organism in Eukaryota, Metazoa, Chordata, Aves, Piciformes, Lybiidae.